AUACUUACCUGGCAGGGGAGAUACUGGGAUGAUGAAGGUGAUUUUCACCCCACAGCAUGGCUUCUCUAUCACACUCUGAUGUGCUGACCCCUGCAAUUUCCACAAAACUUGACUGUAUAAUUUGUGGUCGUGGGGGACUGGAUUUGCACUUCUCCCUG
Molecule: small nuclear RNA, 158 nt
Organism: Capra hircus (goat)
Lineage: Eukaryota; Metazoa; Chordata; Mammalia; Artiodactyla; Bovidae
Gene: U1
Rfam family: U1 spliceosomal RNA
About the family: U1 is a small nuclear RNA (snRNA) component of the spliceosome (involved in pre-mRNA splicing). Its 5' end forms complementary base pairs with the 5' splice junction, thus defining the 5' donor site of an intron.
Source: Ensembl